GGAAGUUAGUGAGAAUGGAGAGGGGAGGAUGUUCAGGUUAAGUCCCUACACAUAUAACUCCCUGUAACCCAAACCCUUACCCUAUUCUUCGUGCUUUGCUUCCCACACUUCACUCCUUUUGGGGGAAGAAAUAGCAAGUAGGUAGGGUGUGCGUGAGAGGAGAUAGAAAUUGUGAAAAAGAAUCUCCAAGACAAAAGUCAGGUGGACCAAUAAGCAGAGCUCCACUGCCAAGUUAACUAAAGGUGAAGGAGGUGGAGGAGGAGUAAACGGGAACGGGAGCGGAAGGGAGCAGGAGAGCUCUCUCACUAUCAAGGUCACCUCCAUUCAAGAUAAAGAAGAACCACAGGUGAUGCUCCUAGGUCCGCAAUGCCCUUACAGAAUUAAGGUUUCAGGAGCCAGAUGAGGACGGCUGCAGAAGGCUAAGAUUGAAGGUCCUGGGUUACCUGCUCUGCUCGAUUCCUCUGGGCUCACACCACCUUUGUUAAUAAUUUACCAGGCGGUAAUAACUGAUUUUUGUGCCAUUCAAGAGGCUGAUAAUCUUCUCGGCUGAGAGAUCUUGCCUUUCUCUUCCCCGCCCCCACCUCCCACCCCCGCCCGCCAAGUCUUCUCAGGCGGCAAUUCCAGGAAAAAUCAACCCCUUGCUGACAAUAACCUUGCUCCCGGCGUGUUCCGGUAGAGUGUUUCAGCACCAGAAUUCAGGACAGCUCCCCGGGAACGCGUAACUGAAAGGAAUUCCCGCCCCUUUGCCUCACUGCCAACUGAUUCCCCCUAGCUCCCGGGGCUAAUUGUCUUCGUCUUUACCUGACUGUGGGGUUCUGUAGGUGAGAAGACAAGCAGAGAAGGGCAGGGUGUCUCCUGUCAUUCUCUAGGGUUAUCUUCAGAGUCAGCCUUCCCUACUUAUAUCCCCAACUUGGAACAGGAUAUGAAUUUGGACUGAGUUGCAAACAAAAAUUUAACUGGAAACAAUGGAAGGAGUUGAGGAGGAAAGAGUGAGAGAAGGUCUGAAGAAGUCCCCAAUUAUGUUAAAGAUGAACUAGGGAAAAAAUGAGUUUGAUUUCUCUGGAAAAUAUCCCUGUCGCCAUCCUAUGCACCUCUUUCUCUCUUGUGCCUACUGUAAAGCAUUUGAAAUCUUUCACCCUCUCCCUCAACCUACAUUUUCCUUAAUGACCCCUGUGGGUGAGAGCUGGGAGCAGAGCUGGGAGAUGAGCUGUUAUUGUAGGAUGUGGGAAUGGACUCUGGAGAGCUCUGGAGAAGAGUGAGAAUAAUAUAGGACUAAUUUAGAAAAAGGCAGAGAAAGUUGUCUCCCACAAACCAAUGGAGACUGGAAAGUCCACUUCUAUUCCAAUACAGGUAAGAAAUUUUAAAAUUUUGUCUCUGAGAUGUUAAGAUAAUAUUAGUUUUAACCUAAUUUUGAAAUAAAUGAUUGAGGUUAGUCUUAACUGUA
Sarcophilus harrisii (Tasmanian devil) is the source of this 1444-nucleotide long non-coding RNA. RefSeq lists it as uncharacterized. NCBI's taxonomy places the organism in Eukaryota, Metazoa, Chordata, Mammalia, Dasyuromorphia, Dasyuridae. The record is from RefSeq and is a predicted model, not a curated record. The transcript has 4 exons.